AUGUUUUCUUUAACCAAACUGAUGGUGCUUCCCUACUGGUUCCACAGAUACAGUGUGCGGAGAUUUUGCUUGUGGAAAACUGGCAAAUGGCAGCUUUGGGAGGUGAGUCAGCCACCUCAAGCUGUAUCCUGUUUUUCUGAGAUCAACAGUUCCACAUCCACUGACUCCAACAGAACCAGAACCCAGCUCUAAGGAAGUAGGUAACAUGUUUCUUGAUAAUACACAUUUAUAACCCAAAUAACACAAGCCUUCUAGUCCAUGAUUAACUACUAUUCAAGUCUUCUCCC
This 287-nucleotide long non-coding RNA is filed under the name Phasianus colchicus (ring-necked pheasant). RNAcentral describes it as "lncRNA (ENSPCLG00000020911.1)". Lineage: Eukaryota; Metazoa; Chordata; Aves; Galliformes; Phasianidae. The record is from RNAcentral.